RNAcentral lists this ribosomal RNA (465 nucleotides) under uncultured bacterium. RNAcentral's name for it is "partial 16S ribosomal RNA". It matches the Rfam family "Bacterial small subunit ribosomal RNA", at positions 28 to 507 of the family's 1533-position model. The record is from RNAcentral.
GACGAACGCUGGCGGCGUGCUUAACACAUGCAAGUCGAACGGAAAGGCACUGCUUGCAGGGUAUUCGAGUGGCGAACGGGUGAGUAACACGUGGGUGAUCUGCCCUGCACUUCGGGAUAAGCCUGGGAAACUGGGUCUAAUACCGGAUAGGAGCCAUUUUUAGUGUGAUGGUUGGAAAGUUUUUUCGGUGUAGGAUGAGCUCGCGGCCUAUCAGCUUGUUGGUGGGGUAAUGGCCUACCAAGGCGGCGACGGGUAGCCGGCCUGAGAGGGUGGACGGCCACAUUGGGACUGAGAUACGGCCCAGACUCCUACGGGAGGCAGCAGUGGGGAAUAUUGCACAAUGGGCGCAAGCCUGAUGCAGCGACGCCGCGUGGGGGAUGACGGCCUUCGGGUUGUAAACUCCUUUCGCUAGGGACGAAGCUUUUUGUGACGGUACCUAGAUAAGAAGCACCGGCUAACUACGUG